AGCGAACGCUGGCGGCAGGCCUAACACAUGCAAGUCGAACGAACCUUUCGGGGUUAGUGGCGGCCGGGUGAGUAACACGUGGGAACGUGCCUUUAGGUUCGGAAUAACUCAGGGAAACUUGUGCUAAUACCGAAUGUGCCCUUCGGGGGAAAGAUUUAUCGCCUUUAGAGCGGCCCGCGUCUGAUUAGCUAGUUGGUUGAGGUAAUGGCUCACCAAGGCGACGAUCAGUAGCUGGUCUGAGAGGAUGAUCAGCCACAUUGGGACUGAGACACGGCCCAAACUCCUACGGGAGGCAGCAGUGGGGAAUCUUGCGCAAUGGGCGAAAGCCUGACGCAGCCAUGCCGCGUGAAUGAUGAAGGUCUUAGGAUUGUAAAAUUCUUUCACCGGGGACGAUAAUGACGGUACCCGGAGAAGAAGCCCCGGCUAACUUCGUG
Molecule: ribosomal RNA, 434 nt
Filed under: uncultured bacterium
Lineage: Bacteria
Description: partial 16S ribosomal RNA
Rfam family: Bacterial small subunit ribosomal RNA
Source: RNAcentral